RNAcentral lists this unclassified non-coding RNA (425 nucleotides) under soil metagenome. RNAcentral describes it as "partial contains 5.8S ribosomal RNA, internal transcribed spacer 2, and large subunit ribosomal RNA". The stretch from base 1 to 120 matches the Rfam family "5.8S ribosomal RNA", at positions 35 to 154 of the family's 154-position model. The record is from RNAcentral.
GAUGAAGAACGCAGCGAAAUGCGAUAAGUAGUGUGAAUUGCAGAAUUCCGUGAAUCAUCGAAUCUUUGAACGCACAUUGCGCCUUCUGGUAUUCCGGAAGGCAUGCCUGUUCGAGAGUCAUUAACAACCGUUUCGAUCCCUUUCUUUCAGAAAUUACAAAGAGGAAAAGGGUUUGGUUAUGGUGGAGGAGGGAAAGGGAGCGUUUAGCCUGUAAAAAAAGAGGCUGUGUUCCGCCUCCCCCCCAAAAUUGUACAGGCGGUCGUGUGCGCCCACGCAUCGAGGUGUUGUAAAAGCUGCCACGGCACUUUUCACCUGUGCAGUGCGAGAUUGGCCAGCCGGUUUAAAAACCCCUCCAAACAAUCAACGGUUGACCUCGGAUCAGGUAGGGAUACCCGCUGAACUUAAGCAUAUCAAUAAGCGGAGGA